UACGUAGGUGACCAGCGUUGUCCGGAUUUACUGGGCGUAAAGAGCGCGCAGGCGGUCGUUCAAGUCGAGUGUGAAAGCCCCCGGCUCAACUGGGGAGGGUCACUCGAUACUGAUCGACUUGAAGGCAGGAGAGGGAAGCGGAAUUCCCGGUGUAGUGGUGAAAUGCGUAGAUAUCGGGAGGAACACCAGUGGCGAAGGCGGCUUCCUGGCCUGCUCUUGACGCUGAGGCGCGAAAGCUAGGGUAGCAAACGGG
Molecule: ribosomal RNA, 253 nt
Filed under: uncultured bacterium
Lineage: Bacteria
Description: partial 16S ribosomal RNA
Rfam family: Bacterial small subunit ribosomal RNA
Source: RNAcentral